Long non-coding RNA from Manis pentadactyla (Chinese pangolin), 3453 nucleotides. RefSeq lists it as uncharacterized. NCBI's taxonomy places the organism in Eukaryota, Metazoa, Chordata, Mammalia, Pholidota, Manidae. The transcript has 5 exons. The record is from RefSeq and is a predicted model, not a curated record.
CUCUAGCAGGACACGUGUCUCCUCCCCCUUCUGGCGGAGUGCGGAGGGGGCGGGAGCUGUGGAAUGUCUUUGUCUUGCGCGCGAGCUCGCGGAGUGUGGGGCCGGAGACCUGUUACGUGCAGGGCCCUUCUCUCAAGAAGCCAAGGAGAAACAUAAAAACUCAAAUGUGCCCUGAACCAGUCUCAACCCCUGAGUCAAGGAAUGCAGAAGGUAAGGAGUCACCAUGGUAACAACAGCGUCAGGUGUGUAGAGAAACUUCAGAACACCAGCAUUCCCAUCAGAGGCCCUGCUGCCGCUGAUCAUGAAACCCCGUCAUCACUUAAAUCGCUUUAUUUUAAAGGCACUAGCACCAGACUGAAGGUAGACAUUUGAGAACCAUUGACAUGGUUUACUGUCCUGUAUUCCUUGGAGAUGGUGUUGUGGCCUCUGUUUGGAUACCUCUGGCAGCUGGGGUGCUGACUACCUUACCUCUUUGGAUCAUGCAAGCUGGAUCAUGUUACCUUUUCUCAUCACCCCUCUCUUGCCUGCCCUUCCUCAGGCUGGUUAAUGUCCCUCCUAUGUGCUCCUGUGUCUCCCCUGCGGUUACCACUUUUGGAGUACUUAUCUCAUGGUGUUGUAAUCGCCAGCUGACACAUCCCUCAACAGCAAGAUUGCCAGCUUCUUCAGGGCAAGGUCUCUAUCUGUUCACUGUUGUUGGAUUCUCAGGCCCGUCACAUGGCAGAAGCUCAUCAGUAAUUAUUGACUGAAGAAACGAACUUUUACCCACCAGACUAAUGAAAUAAUAAUCAUGAAAAUAACACUUAUUUAAUAUGUACUGUACCGUCAGCACUUUAUAUGCUUUUUGAUCAGCAACAGGUUUUUAUGUCAAGGCAUUCGGGAUAAAAUGAAAAUGGGAAACUUAAGUCUUGAGGAACCAGAGAAUGCUGUGAACUGAAGCCAGCAGGCAGGGCAGCGCCAGAGGUUAAAGUACUGGCUGGAGUCAGCAGCUGAUUCUCAGUACCGCCUGGAGCAGAUCCCCACGCUCUCUAGCCUCAGUUGCUCCACCUUUGGUGAGAUAAAAUGAGGAAGUUGAGACAAGUUUCUGAAAGCUUGCUCUACCUGCCAGUUCCUAAAGUUUUCUUUCAGGAUUUCUGACUGGAAUCCGGUUACACCUGACGGCUGUGGAGAUGGGGAUCCUGAUAGCUGGCCGCGGGAAGGAUCCUGAAGGAGGCCUCGGCCUUCCAGGGCACUCAGGCCACAGCCAGGAAUCAGCCUCGUGCACCCACCCCCCCCGAGCGAGCCUUGAAGUUUCUCGGGAUUCACAGCUUCUCCGCCUCCCGGUUGCCUCUCCACCCGCCACCCCCACCCUCAUCCCCUGGCCCCAACAGCACGCAGGGAAGUUCUUCGGUCGCAGGCAGCUGCUGAGAGCAAACUGCCGGGGUCUGUGCAUGACUCCGGGGCUUCCCGCAGAAGAAGAUCGGCCAGGGAGGUUCCUGCAGCCGGCGGUAAUCGGCGCCCUGCCCCUUUGCCUCCGCCCCAGUAUAAGACGGUUGUAAAAUUCCGGAAAGAGAUUAGAGGCAGGGGAUGGGUGGGGUGGUGAAUCAGUACAUUCCUUCCUCCCCCUGCCUCCUCCUCCCCCGUUAUCACUUUGGGAGGGUUGGGUCCUCUCAUGGCCUUCUGACCGGUCCACUGGCAGGGUCCCGACAAGCUAAGCAGUGCUGGGCUGGAACCUCCCAAUCUCAGCUGAAUUUGUAGGGGCUAGAUCGCUUAUUUUGCAGCUCAUGACCCCAUUUGGUUUCAGGUUGGGAAUUUUGGUCGUUCCUUCCAGUUCGGCCUUUUCCAUCAGAGCAGUUCAUAGGCCUACGUGUGCAAUUCUUAGUAGCACCCAUUUACUGAGUAAGCUCCUACUCUGUGGCAGGGUCUGUGCUGGGUCAGUCAGUCUUAGCUUCCUAAAUCUUUGCAACGUAGGCAUGCCUUGUCUCUUGUUAGAAGCAAGCAAUCUGGAAGCUCAGAAAGGUUAGGUAAAUUGUCCACGGCACACAGUGGCAGAACCAGGAAUGAUUCCAGCUCUAUGGUUCGCACCAGUCCAUGUUCCAUACAUUUCCAUCAGUCUGCCUUUAUUUUAGGACAUUGAGAGGCAAUACUUAUUAAAGGGUAGGGAAGUAACAUGUAUGGACCACCUCCCAACAUGCUGGGACUUUAAAUAUAUUGUCUUUAAUCAUUUACUUUUUUAUGACAACCCCCUGAGACAGAUGUGAUCACCAGGCCCAUAUUACACAUGAGGAAGCUUUAGAAGUCAGUAAUUCAAGGGGCAGAGCUGGGAUUCUUGUACAGUCAUAGUACAAACCACAGUUAAUGUGUAUAUAUACUUAACAGCUUACAGAGCACUUCAUUUUACUUCAGUUUACAAGAUCUUCAUUUCAGAACUAUCCCAUUUCACAGAUGAGUAUAGAGGUUCACUCAUGAAGUUAAGCCAUCUGUCCAAGGUCACCAAGCUAAUAGUAGGUAGUACAGCCUGCAAUUUUGAAAUAAACGCUAUUGGGCCAGAGUAACAAAGCUCACAUGUAUGGAAUACUUACUAUAUGUCCAGCAUGGUGCUACCUGAGUUAUAUAUACUGACUCCUAUAAUGCUCAAAACUGCCUUAGGAGGUAAGUACUAUUAUCUUUUCCAUUUUACAGAUGGGAAAACUGAGGUUAGAUGAAAUAACUUCCCAAAGUUACAGAAUGACUAAAUGGUAAUGCAAGGAUGCCAGAUGAAACAGUCUAGAGUCUCAGGGUGGGAACCAGGCACCUGGGUUGUGUCCCCACUUCUGUCUACAGCCAUAUUUUCAAGGAUCUCGGUUUCUUUGUCAUACCACCAUUACUUCUUCCUCUAACCUCUGUGUGUGGCAGGCCCACACAGUGCUCUAUAAAACCAGUCAGGAAUACUGCUAGCUUUGCCUCACGGGGACCCUGGGAGGAUUAAUAAGUUAAUGGCACUUAGAAUGCUACAGCAAAGACACUGGAUAAACUCAGGGAACUUACUAUGUGUGAAACUCACUGCCAAGGGCAGUUCACACUGUAAUAAAGGCACCUGCAGCCCGAUUCCUCAUCUAUUUGAGGUGUGUAGUCUUUCUUGGGAAACCCUUUGGAUGAGGUUAUUCAUGUCAGGAGUUAAAGCAUUUCCCUGCUGUCCCAGGGUGCUGAGAGGGGUGUGGGGAGUGAGUGGGGAGUGUCUCAGGCCUUUGGCUCUCAGAGGGGGGUGUUUCCAACAUCUUGGAAAGGAUUCUAACUUACUCUGAGGGACACCAGUUAUUGACUGGAGUCUAGAGCCUAGCUAGUAUCAUGCUUAUUUGGGCUUUAGAAGCAGACACUUGGGCUGAAUCCUGCUUCUGUCACUUCAUCUGGGCAACCAAUCCCUUUUAAAAUAAAGAUAAUACCUUCCUCAUAAGGUUCUUUUGAAGCAUAAACUUGAUAAUAUAUUUAAAAACACCU